Molecule: ribosomal RNA, 530 nt
Filed under: uncultured bacterium
Lineage: Bacteria
Description: bacterial SSU rRNA
Rfam family: Bacterial small subunit ribosomal RNA
Source: RNAcentral
AAUAGAUACCCGGGUAGUCCACGCCGUAAACGAUGAGUGCUAAGUGUUAGAGGGUUUCCGCCCUUUAGUGCUGCAGCUAACGCAUUAAGCACUCCGCCUGGGGAGUACGGUCGCAAGACUGAAACUCAAAGGAAUUGACGGGGGCCCGCACAAGCGGUGGAGCAUGUGGUUUAAUUCGAAGCAACGCGAAGAACCUUACCAGGUCUUGACAUCCCACUGACCGGUAUAGAGAUAUACCUUUCCCUUCGGGGACAGUGGUGACAGGUGGUGCAUGGUUGUCGUCAGCUCGUGUCGUGAGAUGUUGGGUUAAGUCCCGCAACGAGCGCAACCCUUGAUCUUAGUUGCCAGUCAUUUAGUUGGGCACUCUAAGGUGACUGCCGGUGACAAACCGGAGGAAGGUGGGGAUGACGUCAAAUCAUCAUGCCCCUUAUGACCUGGGCUACACACGUGCUACAAUGGAUGGUACAAAGGGCUGCAAGACUGCGAAGUCAAGCCAAUCCCAUAAAACCAUUCUCAGUUCGGAUUGCAGG